Ribosomal RNA from Ursus americanus (American black bear), 117 nucleotides. Lineage: Eukaryota; Metazoa; Chordata; Mammalia; Carnivora; Ursidae. The record is from Ensembl.
GUCUAUAAACAUACCACCCUGAACACACCCGAUCUCAUCCGAUCUCGGAAGCGAAGCAGGGUCGGGCCUGGUUAGUACUUGGAAGGGAGACCGAUUGAAGUCUUAACGAUACAAACC